UGGGGAAUAUUGCACAAUGGGCGCAAGCCUGAUGCAGCCAUGCCGCGUGUGUGAAGAAGGCCUUCGGGUUGUAAAGCACUUUCAGCGAGGAGGAAGGUGGUGAACUUAAUACGUUCAUCAAUUGACGUUACUCGCAGAAGAAGCACCGGCUAACUCCGUGCCAGCAGCCGCGGUAAUACGGAGGAUGCAAGCGUUAAUCGGAAUUACUGGGCGUAAAGCGCACGCAGGCGGUUUGUUAAGUCAGAUGUGAAAUCCCCGGGCUCAACCUGGGAACUGCAUUUGAAACUGGCAAGCUAGAGUCUCGUAGAGGGGGGUAGAAUUCCAGGUGUAGCGGUGAAAUGCGUAGAGAUCUGGAGGAAUACCGGUGGCGAAGGCGGCCCCCUGGACGAAGACUGACGCUCAGGUGCGAAAGCGUGGGGAGCAAACAGGAUUAGAUACCCUGGUAGUCCACGCUGUAAAACGAUGUCGAUUUUGGAGGUUGUGCCCCUUGAGGCGUGGCUUCCGGAGCUAACGCGUUAAAUCGACCGCC
RNAcentral lists this ribosomal RNA (529 nucleotides) under uncultured bacterium. RNAcentral's name for it is "partial 16S ribosomal RNA". It matches the Rfam family "Bacterial small subunit ribosomal RNA", at positions 355 to 873 of the family's 1533-position model. The record is from RNAcentral.